CUUCCUAACCCGCCUUUUUUUUUCUUUUCGCCGCCAACCUGGCCUAAUUCUCUGAAGGUGAACACAAGCCCGACCUGUACAAAAAACUCACCUCCAGUUGGACCAAAUAGAUGUCUACUGCUGCCUGCAAGAGUAUCUGUACUUAAGGCUGAGGUAGUAGAUUGAAUAGUUGUGGGGUUUUUGUCCUCCCUCUGAGAUAACUAUACAAUCUACUGUCUUUCCUAAGGAGACAGGUUGAUCUUCCAAGCCAAAGCCUGUACAUGGGAGGCUCUGUGGAUAAAAGGAACUCAUGGACACAUCAAGUAAAGUGGAUUUAGGAGAUAGCGCGUUCUUCACCUUUGAGUAGAAGACUAUAUAGUAUAUAGACACAUAUACUGAUGGAACUAGUCUAAUCUAAUGACAACACGUACUGAAGUUGGCACAUAGAAUAAAGUCAUGAUAUUUGGUUCCGGAAAUUGAGCCUGGCAAGGUGAGGUAGUAGGUUGUAUAGUUUGUGGGAUGGAGUAAAUCCUACUCAGGCGAUAACUAUACAGUCUAAUACCUUUCUUGAGAGGUACAAUGAGUGCUUGGGAUGAAGCUCAUUCACAUGGGUGACGCCAUCAUGUGGCCAAAGACUAUCAUCACUCUGAAGAUUAUGGAAAGUUUGGUAACUAUACUCUGUGUAUCUAGGGUCAUGUUCACAAACAUCGUAAGGCUCAUUGUAAUACUGACAUAUAAAGGCACUUUCAUGGCCAUCACUGCGUAAUUCAGUCACAUUUUUACCGAAUCAAAGUAUGAAAAAUUGUCAGCUUGAAAUAGCUUAAAUAUUAGCUUAAAUAUUACAUUCCCAUGUUUUUUUACCAAAUGUUUUUUUUAACGUUAGAUUUAACACCAAUGAUGUUAAAUGCUAGAUGCUAAAAUAUUUAAAAUAGUGUUAUGAAUAAAAUCUAUGAAUAUAUUUCUAAUUGUUGAGUAUUUUGUUCCAUUUUCUGUGUGUUUUAUUUGACAUUUUAAUUGUUUUGCCUGAUUGAAUUUAAUUUGUGAAAAUAAAAAGUCAUUUAUUAUUAUUAAUGGAUUGUACAGCAAGAGAUGUGUAUCAGAUACAUUGUUAAUCAAUUAAAUAAAGCCAUACGAAACUCA
Gymnodraco acuticeps is the source of this 1119-nucleotide long non-coding RNA. RefSeq lists it as uncharacterized. The record is from RefSeq and is a predicted model, not a curated record. NCBI's taxonomy places the organism in Eukaryota, Metazoa, Chordata, Actinopteri, Perciformes, Bathydraconidae. The transcript is spliced from 2 exons.